Molecule: ribosomal RNA, 236 nt
Filed under: uncultured bacterium
Lineage: Bacteria
Description: partial 16S ribosomal RNA
Rfam family: Bacterial small subunit ribosomal RNA
Source: RNAcentral
UGGCGGACGGGUGAGUAAUGUCGUGGGAAACUGCCUGGUGGAGGGGGAUAACUACUGGAAACGGUAGCUAAUACCGCAUAACGUCGCAAGACCAAAGAGGGGGACCUUCGGGCCUCUUGCCAUCGGAUGUGCCCAGAUGGGAUUAGCUAGUAGGUGGGGUAACGGCUCACCUAGGCGACGAUCCCUAGCUGGUCUGAGAGGAUGACCAGCCACACUGGAACUGAGACACGGUCCAG